RNAcentral lists this ribosomal RNA (253 nucleotides) under uncultured bacterium. RNAcentral's name for it is "partial 16S ribosomal RNA". It matches the Rfam family "Bacterial small subunit ribosomal RNA", at positions 524 to 776 of the family's 1533-position model. The record is from RNAcentral.
UACGAAGGGGGCUAGCGUUGCUCGGAAUUACUGGGCGUAAAGGGAGCGUAGGCGGAUAGUUUAGUCAGAGGUGAAAGCCCAGGGCUCAACCUUGGAAUUGCCUUUGAUACUGGCUAUCUUGAGUAUGGGAGAGGUGUGUGGAACUCCGAGUGUAGAGGUGAAAUUCGUAGAGAUCGGGUGGAACACCAGUGGCGAAGGCGCCUAUCUGGCUGACAACUGACGCUGAGACUCGAAAGCAUGGGGAGCAAACAGG